AGAACGAACGCUGGCGGCAUGCCUAACACAUGCAAGUCGAACGAGACCUUCGGGUCUAGUGGCGCACGGGUGCGUAACGCGUGGGAAUCUGCCCUUGGGUUCGGGAUAACAGUUGGAAACGACUGCUAAUACCGGAUGAUGUCUUCGGACCAAAGAUUUAUCGCCCAAGGAUGAGCCCGCGUAGGAUUAGCUUGUUGGUGAGGUAAGAGCUCACCAAGGCGACGAUCCUUAGCUGGUCUGAGAGGAUGAUCAGCCACACUGGGACUGAGACACGGCCCAGACUCCUACGGGAGGCAGCAGUGGGGAAUAUUGGACAAUGGGCGAAAGCCUGAUCCAGCAAUGCCGCGUGAGUGAUGAAGGCCUUAGGGUUGUAAAGCUCUUUUACCCGGGAUGAUAAUGACAGUACCGGAGAAUAAGGCCCCGGACUAACUCCGUGCCAGCAGCCGC
RNAcentral lists this ribosomal RNA (447 nucleotides) under uncultured soil bacterium. RNAcentral describes it as "bacterial SSU rRNA". It matches the Rfam family "Bacterial small subunit ribosomal RNA", at positions 26 to 518 of the family's 1533-position model. The record is from RNAcentral.